CCAAUCCCUGACAUGAUUGGGGUCUCUACAGGAAGGCAGAGACGAAGGGGGCCGCCCAUGAAGGGCGUCUGGAGCUAGAAGCCCAGAGGCAUCGACGACCGCCCGCCACCCACCCCAGCCGUACCCAGCCCAACCCGGGGGCUGGCGUGCCCGGGAGCUGGGCCCGUGGCGAGUCUUUCACCAGGAGGGAGGACACUGAAGGCACUUACUAG
RNAcentral lists this long non-coding RNA (212 nucleotides) under Canis lupus familiaris (dog). Its description in RNAcentral is "lncRNA (ENSCAFG00000057035.1)". Lineage: Eukaryota; Metazoa; Chordata; Mammalia; Carnivora; Canidae. The record is from RNAcentral.